CAUUUUUUCAUUUUUUUUGAGUCAAAUGGCGACCCGCAAAGAGCAGGAGGAUAUUGAACCCACAAAUGGACUCCGGAUCAGGUCCGACACCUAAUAAGCUUUAGGACUACCAACGAGGAGAAUUUUACAAAGAAGAAAUAUGCUGCUAAACCACUGUGGGAGAAACUCAUCAAAGAGCUGGAACUGGAGGGGAAGGUGACCACAGCACAAAUUGGCAAAAAAUGGAACACUUUGGAAGACACCAGCACAU
Cololabis saira (Pacific saury) is the source of this 250-nucleotide long non-coding RNA. RefSeq lists it as uncharacterized. Lineage: Eukaryota; Metazoa; Chordata; Actinopteri; Beloniformes; Belonidae. The transcript has 4 exons. The record is from RefSeq and is a predicted model, not a curated record.